AGGAGCUUGGCAGGCUACAGUCCAUGGGGUCACAAGAGCAGGACAUGACUUAGUGACUAAACUACCACAUACUGAGAUACUUCCAGGUUCUGCAGAAAGUGUGGCUGUCCCCUCGACCACACUCUGCCUUUCUCUGCUGCACUGUUCCUGCCCUCUUGUUUCAGUAGCUAACAUCUCCACAAGUUUUCCUUCUUCUAGAAAUGUACUUUCUCAGGCAUAUAUGACCUCUAGCAUUGUCUUCAUAUUGUGGUUUUACGAAUUUUUAUUAUUGUGGUAUGGCCUCUUGAGGGGAAAGAGAUAAAUAUGCAUUAUCAGCUAGUUUGAAUCAGAAUUGUGGUUAAAGUCAUAUUUUAAUAUAAAUCAUACUCUAUAGAGAUUUUUGGCAUAUUAACAAUUCAGUGAUUUUUAGCAUAUUCACAAAGUUGUAUAACCAUCCAUACAAUCUAAUUGCAGAACAUUUUCGUCACCCCAGAGAAGUCACAUACCAUUAGCAGUCACCUCCUAUUUCCUCUACUCUCCUGCCAGCCCUAAUCAGUCACUAAUCUACUUUCUGUCCAUAGAUUUGUCAUUAUUGCUGUUUGUAGAGGGGACGGUACAGAUAGGAAGAAAGGUGAGCUCUGGUCUGGAGGGGAGCUUCUACUUCUGAUCUCUGCUUAUCGGCCAUCACAAAAUUUGAAGUUAAAAUUCCCUGAUUCUUUGAAGAUUAAUUUCAUUCCAAGAAUUUCCAUCCAAUCUUCAAAGGUAUUCACGUACAGUACCCAUAAACAUGGGUGGGUAGGUAGGUAGAUACCUAAUUUAAUCUUAUUUCAUAACUUUAAUCUUAUUUUGGGGGAAUGGGUGACCCUAGUGUGCACGCACAUGCGCACACACCCAUCUUGUCCUGAGUUGUAUUUCAAAGACUUCUUGUUUGGACUGACAAUGAAGGACACCAUGGCUGAAACACUUUCCUCCAAUUCCCUAAUUCCUAGGUUAAGACAUCCAAAUACUAGGUGAUGGUAAAGGGUGGGAGUCGAUAGAAUGAACCAUGGGGAAUGACUUAGAGAAAACACCCCUCUCUGCCUUGUGUACAACCAGAACAGAGAGACACAAGGAGGGGCAGCAAGUCUUUACUGGGUACUUUUUCUAGCCAGGGCGUCUGGGCCUCCCCAGCACCUCUACCCCCUCAGGAGUGGUCCUUUAUGAUGUAUCAGCUCCCCAGAGCUGCCAUUGGCUGUCGGGAGUGUCCUGAUGACCAAACAAAGCAGAACAGGUGUGACUCCUCGUUGUCCUGGGGAGAGGUAUAUAUACAGGGGGCAGGCCUGGCAGACAGGUAGACAACUGAGUGGCUUCAACAUGGCAAAAGUGACCGAUCAAUCUUGGGAGCCAAAAACCACAAGCACCAAGCGGUGGAAGAAAAGGAAGACCCUCUCUCAGCCUGGAUCAAGAGGCAAGGUGGUGAAGAUAUAUAAGAAGGUAAAAAGACCACUCCAUGUGUGUUCAAGAAAAAAUUACUCCCCAAAAGUUAUAACUACAAGAAGACAAAAGAGAACAAGAAGGGCCAAGCUUCAGCCAGUUCCAUAGACUGAGCCAAAUGCAGCCAGGCCAGGUCUAACAGCCCCUGUAGAACGACACCACUCUGAGAUAAGACCUAAGCAAACAGCACCUGCAGAGCAAGCUUCAGAGACCUGAGAACAAUCUGCUAUAUCUAAGAGUCCUGGCUGCGGAGAAAUGGCCAACUGCGUAGACACUGGCUCAGACACUGAUGUGAAACAUGGGACACAAAUGCUGGUUAUUAAAAUCAGCAAGGUGUGAGAAGCCCCUCAAAAAAAAUACAAUAAAAUUAGGCACUCUGCAUACAAAUGAA
This is a long non-coding RNA of Capra hircus (goat), 1843 nucleotides long. RefSeq lists it as uncharacterized. The transcript has 2 exons. The record is from RefSeq and is a predicted model, not a curated record. Lineage: Eukaryota; Metazoa; Chordata; Mammalia; Artiodactyla; Bovidae.